UACAGAGGGUGCGAGCGUUAAUCGGAAUUACUGGGCGUAAAGCGUGCGUAGACGGUUAUUUAAGUCAGAUGUGAAAGCCCCGGGCUCAACCUGGGAACUGCAUUGGAAACUAACGGGCUCGAGUGUGGCAGAGGGGGGUGGAAUUCCACGUGUAGCAGUGAAAUGCGUAGAGAUGUGGAGGAACACCGAUGGCGAAGGCAGCCCCCUGGGCUAACACUGACGCUCAGGCACGAAAGCGUGGGGAGCAAACAGG
RNAcentral lists this ribosomal RNA (253 nucleotides) under uncultured bacterium. RNAcentral's name for it is "partial 16S ribosomal RNA". It matches the Rfam family "Bacterial small subunit ribosomal RNA", at positions 524 to 776 of the family's 1533-position model. The record is from RNAcentral.